GGCCCCAUAGCUCAGGGGAUAGAGCAGAGGUUUCCUAAACCUUGUGUCGGAGGUUCGAAUCCUCCUGGGGCCGCCA
RNAcentral lists this transfer RNA (76 nucleotides) under Propioniciclava flava. RNAcentral describes it as "Propionibacteriaceae bacterium VG341 tRNA-Arg". It matches the Rfam family "tRNA". Rfam says of the family: Transfer RNA (tRNA) molecules are approximately 80 nucleotides in length. Lineage: Bacteria; Bacillati; Actinomycetota; Actinomycetes; Propionibacteriales; Propionibacteriaceae. The record is from RNAcentral.